CGCAUCUGUGCAUGCAGCAUAUCAAUAAGCGGAGGAAAAGAAACUAACAAGGAUUCCCCUAGUAACGGCGAGUGAAGCGGGAAGAGCUCAAAUUUGAAAUCUUAAAGGGUUUCCCUUUACGAAUUGUAGUUUAAAGAAGUGUUUUCUGUUGAGGUUUUGGUAAAAGUUCUUUGGAAUAGGACAUCAUAGAGGGUGAGAAUCCCGUAUUUGACCUUUACUUUCAACUUUGUGAUACACUUUCAAAGAGUCGGAUUGUUUGGGAAUGCAGUCCAAAAUGGGUGGUAAAUUUCAUCUAAAGCUAAAUAUUGGCGAGAGACCGAUAGCGAACAAGUACCGUGAGGGAAAGAUGAAAAGAACUUUGAAAAGAGAGUUAAACAGUACGUGAAAUUGUCAAAAGGGAAGCGUUUGACACCAGUGUUGUUUUUCUGAAAAUCAAUUAAAGAACUGUUUAUGCUAAGCUGUUUAGACUUUAUCAGCUAACUGUUUAGUUUUGAGCUUUUCUUUAAUGCACUUUUCAGUUAACAAGUCAACAUCAAUUUCUUUUGCUGUAAAAAAGCUUGAGGAAGGUGGCUUGAGAUUCGUCUUAAGUGUUUAUAGCCUCUUGCCUAUGCAGUCGGAGAGAUUGAGGUCUGCAGCGUAGAUCCUUCGGGGCUAAAUGUAUUUGUGCUAAGUUAUAGCAUUUUAUAGACAACUUGUUGACUAUGAUUUGUCUUGUAGCUUACUCGCUUAUGUUAUUUUACCUACGCUUAGGAUGUUGAGUCAUCACACAUCUCU
Molecule: ribosomal RNA, 774 nt
Filed under: uncultured Neocallimastigales
Lineage: Eukaryota; Fungi; Neocallimastigomycota; Neocallimastigomycetes; Neocallimastigales
Description: partial large subunit ribosomal RNA
Rfam family: Eukaryotic large subunit ribosomal RNA
Source: RNAcentral